Molecule: long non-coding RNA, 6027 nt
Organism: Thunnus maccoyii (southern bluefin tuna)
Lineage: Eukaryota; Metazoa; Chordata; Actinopteri; Scombriformes; Scombridae
Exons: 7
Source: RefSeq, a predicted model, not a curated record
UGUUUACCUGUAAAUCUGUGUUAAUUUUGGCAGACAAGUUGCUGUUGGUCUUCAUUUUCUGAGUUGGAAGAGAAGGAGGACAUUUCUUUUCACCUCUUUUUGUAGUAUUUUCAUACUGAGCGUGAUUGUAGUGUGUUUGUGAUACAAGAUAGAAGUUAGCCGCAUGACCCAGGUUGGUCUGCUUUUUUCCCACUGAGUCCUGCCAAUUCGUGAACAUGUUUCCACUGUGAAACAUUACCAUAGACUGUAUAUGAAUAUCAUUAUGUAACUUUAUAUUCAGUCUAUGAACGUUACUCUCAGCAGGCGAUAGCAGCACUGUUUACAGGCAGUUCAACACCUGAGUCUGUCCUGGUGACCACAGAGAAAGCUGUUUUUACAUGUCUGUGUUUAGCGCUGAAUAGGUUGCUUUUGAGUCUCUGUGGUUUGGAGAUUAGUUUUACUCUCACAUUCAUGUCUGUACUUUCAGAUAUCAGGCUUAUUCUACUGGUGACUGAGUUUCAGAGAUGUUGAACUUACUGCUGAUAGAAAUCAAUCGUCUAUCAUCACCCUGAUUGAUUGAUCAUCAUCAAUCAAUCAUCCUGCUGCUGUUUCAUAUUAAAAACUCUCCAUUGGUGAACCAGUGUGAGAUUUUUAUUGUGAAGCAGCUACAGGAAAUACUACUUGUUUGCAUUUAGUGUAUCUGCAACCACUGGUAAGUAGCUGUAGGCUUGAGGUAACGUUACCACUUUACAUUCUGCUCACAUUUUAUAAUCACGGUCUUGUAUUCAGCCGAUAUGUUACAUUUGCAGUGUUUAUGAACUUGAAUGAACCGCUAUUAGCCAACGUGUCAUAAUAACUUGCCAAUCUGAGAUGGAACCAUUUGGCAGCCAUCUUACAUGUAUCCAGUUUUAAACAUAGACAUAUAUGGGUAGACGUCGCAUUGACUGCUGGAUUGUAUGUCAAUGUCGCUGCCACAGUGGUCCAGGCAACUUGCCAUAAACUUUCAGAAGACUGGACUGGGAAGAUGCUUGAAUCGUGUUCAAACCGUCACACAAUCCAAACCAGAUCUUGGGGAAUUGCCACUCACAGAUCUUCCAAUAGACCUUCUGUCAAAACAGGGCCAUGAGUACACAAAAGACCAGAGGGAGUUUGCCCUCACUCUCCACCUACACGGUCCAAAAGAACAUAACUGUCUGAGAGAGUCUCUCCAUCUCGACCUCCCACAUCCACAUACAUUGCAAAGGUGGAUGAGUUCUGUGGAUGCCAAGCCUGGCCUAAUGCUGUUGGAUAUGUUGAAAAGAAGACUCUCAUGUUGGAUGCCAUGACUAUCAAAAAACAUGUCCAGUACAACCAUCAUACCCAGAAAAUGUCUGGAUUUGUGGAUAUGGGGGAUGGAAUGAAUGAGACGGAUGUUGCCACUGAGACUCAUGUUUUUAUGGUGGUUGGAAGGCUCCAGUUGCCUACUACCUGAACAAGUCUGUGUCACCAGAUACACAGAAGGUCCAAAUUGUGAAUGCGUUGGAGGAACUGCAUGAGUGUGGCAUAAGAGUGGUGUGUGUUAAUAUAGAUGGGUAUGCCUCCAAUGUUAGCAUGUAUGACCAACCUGGGUGCCUGCUAAAGGCAAACCUUCUUGAGCCCUUAAAAACCUUUAUUGCAUAUCUAGUGACUGUUUAGAGGGUUUUUGUGAUGAUGCUUGCUACAUAUUGAAGCCGGCACAGAACAUGUUACAGGCUUAGAGUCCAACAACCACCACAACUGGCCAGAUCAACUGGACAUACAUCGUUCAUCUGAAUGAUGUCCAAGCAAAAGAUGGACUGCAUGCUGCCAACAAGAAGCUCUGUGCACAUUGAGGGACCUUGGCUAUUCACAGUUUGAACACUGUCAAGCAACAGCUGAACUCAUUGAGGUGAAGGGGAGAACUUAAGGCAGCUCUUCAACCUUGUAUUUAUUUUUGAGCACAUGACUGGCUACAUACAUGUGGAAGCAGAAUUUGUGAGGAUUACUACUGCUCCCCUUGUCUCAAAGUUCCUUGCACAACUUGACCAGCACAUUGCCAAGCUCAUCAAAGUGUUGAGGAAGAAAGGAGGCUCUGCAGGGAGUAAAAUUAGCAUAAUUUUGGCUCCAGUAGAAAACAUUUGUAGAAAACAUUAUGGAAUUAUAAGAAGAUUAUUAGUAGAUGACUGUUUUUACGGGUAUAGGGACUAAUAAACAGUCAGAAAUCAAUCACAUCUGUAAACACGCCCCUAUAAGUAUAAAAUUGUGAUAUGACUAUUGUUCACAAUGCCUGAACAACAACUCCUGUGCUUCUUUCAAACAAAUUGCUACUUUUUAUUUGCAGUCACCUCAAACUUUAAACACAGAUCAGUGACCGUAGCUGUUUCAGUUGUACUGAUAUUUGGAAUGAGCAACAGAAAGUUUGCUUCUUAACAUACAGCAUGACAACUUAUCCCCUAAUCCACACACACAAUUUUAAGCCUCUGUUUUCAGGUUUAUCCAUGAGUUAGUCUUGUGAAAAAGUUCAGUUUUUGGAUGUAAAAGACACGUUAAAACAAAGAAGGAAGAUGCUUUACUGGUUUUCUUUCACUUCCCUGCCUAAUGUGGACAUGGUCUAUAAGUGAUGGUAACCAUUAAUGUCCAUGUGAUGAUUAAUUGGUCAUUGUGUAUGUCUAUCUCUGCAGUUAAGAAGCCAUUAAUUUCACAUGCUUAGAGAAAUGUGAGGUGUAGUAUGUGUGUUGUGUAUGUGUGUAUGUGCAGUCCUAAAGUUUUACUGUGGUUUUUUUUCUCCUUUAGAAUGAAACUGUUGAAAAGAAGGGGAAGAGGGAGUGCAUCCUCAGGGCACUUUGUAUCUACCUGAAUGAGGACUUGAGCAUCGUCCUCAGAGAACUCCUGGAUUCAGAUGCUACAACUGUUCAGAGGGAGCUUGAACAAGUUAUCCUUGGCAUCUACAGCAUCAGUGUUGAGGGAGGUGAUGCCACCAUUCCUCCAGCUGAUGGUGGAAUAGUGAUCGAGGGUGUUGAAGUUCUGCAUGGCUUGCAUCUCCUCUGCAUGUGCACUCUUAAUGGGUGUAAUAUAUGCACUGAACCUCAGCUAUCCUCAGGAACUGAGAGCCUUCUUUGAAGUUUUUCAGAGGCUGUUCCUUCAAUUGGAUGCUUGAAGACUCUCAACCAAGGUACAGAAGCUCAAGAACAAACUGUAUGAAUAAGCCAACCAUUGAUUUGGAUGCUGAAUCUUCUGUGGAAGAGACAAAAUUAUAUUUUGGGCCAAAACUGAAUAAAAUGAUGUUUAGCUGUUUGAAAAUAGCAGAGCAAAGAAAAACUACACUUCAGAACAAUAACCAAUGAUUUGGCAAACUACCACCAUAAGUGAAAAGUGGUAGUCUGGUGGUACUACUAAGUGACAAGUGAAAGAUAUUGAAUUGAGAGACCAUGUGAUUCAUUUUCUGUGAAUCAUCUAAUCAAUUAAUAUUUGCAGCUCUAUUUAUAUGUGUUGGUCUUAUGGUGCCAAAAAAGUUAAUGCGUUGUUUUUUUGGACCAAGUGGCUCCAAAAUAUUUUUAUUUAUUUAUCUAGUUGGCUUAACUCACAACCAUUGUGUUACUGUAAUACAAGUUCAUUAAAUUAGAUGAGCUUAACAUUUUUGUUUUUAACUAACAUAUUAUAAUUUCAUGGAACCUGUUGACAAAAUACAUUUAAUUAAAGUCAGUGUUUCGAUUUUUUGAGUGCAUGUCGCUAUCAUUAAGGAUUAUAUCUAGUUUUAGCUACUGCAAAAUUUUGAGUUUUAGUCAUCAUUUCAAUCUAACAUAGAAAGACUUCUCUUUUUAAAAGAUUAAUUUCAGUACCAAACAUGCUAAAUUACCAGAUUCACCGUGCACUCUAUUAUGCAAUAUUUAUCUUUUGCUGUUUGGUAUUGAAUGAGAGUAAUCACCCUUUGGUGAUAACAUUUUCUCUCCAUCAUUUUACUCACUGCACGCUGUAUUUAAACUCUUAUCAUCAUCAUUUUUCGUUGAAAUAAUCACAGAUUUCUACAGAGUUCUAUUGACACUACUACUAAUAUUAUUUUUGCUCUGAUGCUUUUGGAAAUGUGGUCCUUUUCUUUGUAAUAUAAUAUUAUGCACAUAAUUCUGAUAUUUAAAAGCUCAAGACAACGGUUUCAACCCUAGCUGGUCAGUGAUUCCACCUUAAAAAGGGUUCAAUAUUAAGUGAUUAUCUUUAAAGAUCUUGGUUCUUGUUUGGAAUAUCUUAAAAGGUCACAUCUAUCUAGGUGUUAAGAUUAAUGCCCAACAAAUUAAAUUUGUCAGUGAGAUUUAAGCUAUUUUAUUAUGCAAGAUGUCAUUUAAGAUGUCAUUUGCAACACAUUACACAAUACGUUUUUUAUGUUUUCAGUGAAUCAAAUAACAAAACAUUGUUAAACACACAAUACAUUUGUAUUGAUGACAUUUACAGAUUAAUGUGCUUUUGGAAAAUGUUGAAAUGAAACUGUAGAAGAAAUAACCAUUUUAAAAAAUCCCAAUUCAGUAAUUUUCUUCAAAAGCGAAAAUGUGAAGUACUUUAAGCACAUUUAUUAUUUCAAAAGUUUACUUAUAAAGACACCCUUCUCCUUGUUACAAUAAGAUAAUAAUUUCAGUCUCAGUGAGAGUUUAAUGGUGUAUUAAACUUGUGAUAUCCUCAGUGGAUAAGCUGCCAAAUAUUCUUCACCACUGAGCUGAGAACCGAGAGUGAAGUCAAAAAGCUAAAGCAGAGCUCAGCCAGGUAGCAAUGAAGAGAGGAAAACUGUUUUGAUUUUUUUUUUUUUUAAAGAAAAAAAAGAAAAAAACUUUUCCUAUAAAAGAAUCUACUGCUGCUAGGUUUGCUGUGUGCAAUAUUAAAACUGCCUCCAGGCUCAACAGGCUCCAGUAAAAGAAACCUCUGCUGGAGCCAACAGCAUCAAUGAUGAUGAGUGUGCUGCUGUGUGAACUGAUGCUCUCAGACAACGGCAGGAAUAUAUUAGAAAUACAGAUAAUGAUGAAGAAUUGAGAUAAAACAUGGAGAGUGACAACUAAAUCAGCUCCAGCGUGCCACAGAUCACCCAACUUUCUCAGCUGCUAAAGAUAUAAUACAAGGAUAAAGUUUGGAAUUAACUGGGGCUUACAUGUUCACUUUUGUAUGUUCAGUUUAGCGCAAGGCCCUGCUAAAUCCGUCCGAUAUUUGUGAUCAAUAUUUAAUCUGGGCCAGUAUUUUUAGGCAUUUUGUUGAUACUCCAAAUCUAACCCAGCACAUGGUUGCACCAUCCAUCAGUGAAAACUGCUUCAAAGUGACCUGCCAAAGAAUACGUGACAAAGUGGGUGAGACCACACCAUUUGUCCCUGUUACACUUUAAUAUACGUCUUAACUUGCUUGUUAUUUCUUUGUUUAGUCAGUAUAACAUCUAUCUGUAGCAUUGCUUUUGCAUACUAUCCUGCUUAUAUAUUAGCCUGUUGUGUUACCAUACUCACCAUGCUAUCCAGGAUACAAAGGGGGAGUCACCCACUGACUUCCUGCUUUUAAGCUCUCGCUGACAUCACCAGUGACCAAGCAUGGGGGGAUUUAUUGGAUUUAGUUAAAGGUUUGGUUACGUUUUAUGUUAUUUGUACUUAUUUUGGCUCAUGGUGAGGACUAUGUUGUGAAUAAAGUCGUAAACAAUAUCAACUGCUAGUGACAUUGUUAUAUGCCAGUUGUUGGUAUAAGGGAAAGGGCACCCCUGUGAGAAUUAUGGUUCUGCCUAGAUAGAUUGGAGGGCCUAUUUAAGGGGAGAGUUGGUGGUUUAGGGGAGAGCUGAAAGGAAAGAGGAUGUACAGGUGAUCAUGCUUAAGUUUGUUUAGUUGAGUUUUCCUGAGUUAAACUCACAAUAUCUCAAUCAAAACAAUAACAAAAGACGAAGUGUGAUGACAGUGUGAAGUAACGUGGGAUCAUGGGAGUUGUUGUCUUCAUUGUUAAACAACCAGCUUCUUCAGGUUAGGAUUAUUAUGUUCAUCGUUCAGGACGUUUUUACCGGGAGCCAAAUUAUCCGCAGAGGUCUCCUCCUCUCCAAAAACA